Mesocricetus auratus (golden hamster) is the source of this 571-nucleotide long non-coding RNA. RefSeq lists it as uncharacterized. Lineage: Eukaryota; Metazoa; Chordata; Mammalia; Rodentia; Cricetidae. The transcript has 3 exons. The record is from RefSeq and is a predicted model, not a curated record.
UCUCCAUCAGUUACAUACCAGCUCCUAAGAGUCACUUCCAGGCUGCCUCCAAUGGGUCACCUCCUCAUGAAGUUCACAGACCAGAUAGAGGGGAACAAACAUGAGGAACAAGGAGCAAUCUGAAGUGAUGGAGCCCAAGGCUAUUCCUUAAACCACCAGUGAAGUUCCUGGACUUUUCUACCCACCUGUGUGCAAGGUUUGGAUAGAAACAAGCAAGCCAAGACUCAAGAUUGGGAAACAGGAGAUCAUGAUGAGCCUGUAUGUAAGCAGGAGGAGCCACUGGCAUCAUGGGAAAAAAUGAGGAAGGCCAUGGAGAUAGAACUAAGAGCCUCACGAAUGGUCAGCAAGCACUCCACCAUGAAGCACCAACCUCCCUAGGCUCCUAAACUAUGCUGUUGUUGAAAACAGGAGAACAAUUCUCUGAGUCUCCACUGUAAGCUGUCCUCAGGCAGCAGCAGGCAAACAGCAAACUCGCCGAUGUAAAGUUCACAGGUACCUAAGGAAGGCCAACACAGCUAUUGGUGGGAACAUCCUUGAAAAGUAUCAAUUCAUAUAUUAAUAAAAUGAUAUG